GCCUUCGUGGUGUAGUGGUCAGCACUCUCGGCGCGUAUUCGAGAGGUCCGUGGUUCGAAUCCCGGCGAAGGCA
Molecule: transfer RNA, 73 nt
Filed under: Stegodyphus mimosarum
Lineage: Eukaryota; Metazoa; Arthropoda; Arachnida; Araneae; Eresidae
Rfam family: tRNA
About the family: Transfer RNA (tRNA) molecules are approximately 80 nucleotides in length. Their secondary structure includes four short double-helical elements and three loops (D, anti-codon, and T loops).
Source: Rfam by way of RNAcentral